Molecule: ribosomal RNA, 589 nt
Filed under: Jupiaba cf. acanthogaster LBP7935-37269
Lineage: Eukaryota; Metazoa; Chordata; Actinopteri; Characiformes; Acestrorhamphidae
Description: partial 16S large subunit ribosomal RNA
Rfam family: Bacterial large subunit ribosomal RNA
Source: RNAcentral
CAAAAACAUCGCCUCUUGCAAAAAUCAAUGUAUAAGAGGUCCUACCUGCCCAGUGACUCAGUUAAACGGCCGCGGUAUUUUGACCGUGCAAAGGUAGCGCAAUCACUUGUCUUUUAAAUAAAGACCUGUAUGAAUGGUGAAACGAGGGCUUAACUGUCUCCCCUUUCCAAUCAGUGAAAUUGAUCUACCCGUGCAGAAGCGGGUAUAAUUAUACAAGACGAGAAGACCCUAUGGAGCUUUAGACACAAACCACCUACGUUAAAAAUUCCCAUAUAGAAUCUAAACAAAGUAGUAUGCUGGCCACAUGUCUUCAGUUGGGGCGACUACGGGGAAAAACAAAUCCCCCACGUGGAGUGAGAAACUCUCUCAAAACCACGAGGCACACCUCUAAGUCACAGAAUUUCUGACCAAAAGAUCCGGCUCCAGCCGAUCAACGAACUAAGUUACCCUAGGGAUAACAGCGCAAUCCCCUUCGAGAGUCCUUAUCGACAAGGGGGCUUACGACCUCGAUGUUGGAUCAGGACAUCCUAAUGGUGCAGCCGCUAUUAAGGGUUCGUUUGUUCAACGAUUAAAGUCCUACGUGAUCUGA